Molecule: ribosomal RNA, 478 nt
Filed under: uncultured bacterium
Lineage: Bacteria
Description: partial 16S ribosomal RNA
Rfam family: Bacterial small subunit ribosomal RNA
Source: RNAcentral
GACGAACGCUGGCGGCGUGCUUAACACAUGCAAGUCGAACGGUAAGGCCCUUCGGGGUACACGAGUGGCGAACGGGUGAGUAACACGUGGGUGAUCUGCCCUGCACUUCGGGAUAAGCCUGGGAAACUGGGUCUAAUACCGGAUAGGACCACUGCCUGCAUGGGUGGUGGUGGAAAGCUUUUGCGGUGUGGGAUGGGCCCGCGGCCUAUCAGCUUGUUGGUGGGGUGAUGGCCUACCAAGGCGACGACGGGUAGCCGGCCUGAGAGGGUGACCGGCCGCACGGGGACUGAGAUACGGCCCAGACUCCUACGGGAGGCAGCAGUGGGGAAUAUUGCACAAUGGGCGCAAGCCUGAUGCAGCGACGCCGCGUGAGGGAUGACGGCCUUCGGGUUGUAAACCUCUUUCAGCACCGACGAAGCGCAAGUGACGGUAGGUGCAGAAGAAGGGCCGGCCAACUACGUGCCAGCAGCCGCCGUAA